This is a long non-coding RNA of Poecile atricapillus (Black-capped chickadee), 653 nucleotides long. RefSeq lists it as uncharacterized. NCBI's taxonomy places the organism in Eukaryota, Metazoa, Chordata, Aves, Passeriformes, Paridae. The record is from RefSeq and is a predicted model, not a curated record. The transcript is spliced from 4 exons.
GGGCUGCUAACUGAGGAGAUGGUGAAACCCAGGGAUAUGCUCUGAACUACCUAAAUUUGUACCAGGCCUUUACUGAGACAUGAAAUGGAAGCCUGGUGGACCUACAAGCAUGUCAGUGUGGGACAUCACGGUCUCACUAAUGAAGAUGUUAUCUCUGGAAACUUUCUGCCUUACUCAGCACUAAUUCCAUCCAACUGCCAAACAGUGGAGUGUGCUACACUGAUUCUUUGUAUUAAAAUAGCUCUUCCUUUACUGCUUCUAUCAAGUAGGCAUGAUGAGAGAGAGCUGUAAUGCUAUCUCUGAAAACAGCCAUGAUGUCCUUCACUACCAAGAUGAUUCUCUGAGUAGCUGCAACUGUGCUGGGAAAUGCCACCUACAAUUGGAUGAUAAGAGAUAAUUUUUUUAUUUUAUGAUUUUACAAUAACCUGUGGCCACUUUGGUGGAUAAAAAUAAUGAACAUGAAGACUUUUAUCAGCUGUUUGGCUGGCAUGUGUUUGCAUGUGCCUAAAUACCUUUUCUGUUUGCUUUCCAAGAUCGUGAUACAGGGUGCAACAACAUGCAGUAGCACUGGGGCUGCUGCUGACUCCCAUAUGGGCAUGGUGUCCUUCAUACUUCAGAUAUGUGUCACAGAGUAGAGGAGGGAUAUUUUCCCA